Long non-coding RNA from Octopus sinensis (East Asian common octopus), 342 nucleotides. RefSeq lists it as uncharacterized. The transcript is spliced from 3 exons. Lineage: Eukaryota; Metazoa; Mollusca; Cephalopoda; Octopoda; Octopodidae. The record is from RefSeq and is a predicted model, not a curated record.
UAUGCAAAUAUUGCUGGGUGAUGUGUACAUAGAGAGAUGUUGACAUUAAGGACAAAUGGUGGUGAUGGAGAUGGAGGUCACUGAAUGCUGUUGGACGAAGUUGAUGAGUCUCCAUGUAGCUGCUGUUGUGUUGUCGCUGGAACUGGCGGUGUCUUGUGUGGUCAGUGGCUAGACCUUAAAAGGUCUGAAACCAAAGACAUUGAGACAAGGAAAAGUUAAGUUUUUUAAUAAGGAGUUGUAGGCUCAGCUGAGGUAGAAAACAGGAUGCCACACAUGACCUUAUUUGAAGGCUGUGAUUGGUUGGGUUGCAUAUUGGUGCUCGAUAGAGCAAGAGACAAAUUG